Rattus rattus (black rat) is the source of this 600-nucleotide RNA transcript. It is a transcript of the gene named proteasome subunit beta type-8-like, with no coding region annotated. The record is from RefSeq and is a predicted model, not a curated record. The transcript is spliced from 3 exons. NCBI's taxonomy places the organism in Eukaryota, Metazoa, Chordata, Mammalia, Rodentia, Muridae.
CGCAUCUCCGUGUCUGCAGCCUCCAAGCUACUUUCCAACAUGAUGCUCCAGUACCGGGGUAUGGGCCUCUCCAUGGGCAGCAUGAUCUGCGGCUGGGACAAGAAGGGACCGGGACUUUAUUACGUAGAUGACAAUGGGACUCGGCUCUCGGGACAGAUGUUCUCCACAGGCAGCGGGAACACCUAUGCCUCUGGGGUGAUGGACAGUGGUACUGGCAGGAUCUCAGUCCUGAGGAGGCCUACGACCUUGCCCGAAGAGCUAUUGUUUAUGCUACCCACAGAGACAGCUAUUCUGGAGGAGUUGUCAACAUGUACCACAUGAAGAAAGACGGUUGGGUGAAAGUGGAGAGCACUGACGUCAGUGACCUGCUGCACAAGUACCGAGAGGCCACUCCAUGAUCACUGCUGGGCAGACCUCCUCCCGGCCCUGAGGAGCUGGCAGACUCAGGGACCUGGGACUACUUCAGUCUUAGGAGAAAGACGGGCCCAACCUGGGCUGGAGACAAAGCUCUGAGGCUAUGGAGACAUCUUUGUUUACCCUCUCACUCAGCCAGCCCUCAUGGAUACUUUCUAAGUACAAUAAAAGAAAAACAGUUCUACA